AACUCAGGUAUUUCAGUCAGUACACACACUGGUACUGGAUUGGCCUGAGAGCUGAAGGAGGGAGAUGGAAGUGGAUCAAUGGAAGUGAUCUGACUGAAAGUGUCAGCGGCUGGAGACGAAAACCACCACCUCCUACUGACGGUCAGUGUGUAGUUUAUGACAUGUUCAGAUGGAGAUCAGAGAGCUGUGCUGAGAGAAGGCCAUGGAUCUGCAAAAAGAAGACUUUAUCUGUUUAAACACUGUAGUCAGACUUGAGAAGUUUACUGGAUACUCUGCAUGAUAAUAUCAACUGGCUUCAUAAAUAUCAAACUGUGUAGACUUCUACUUCACAAUUUAAAUGUUUUGUUUUAAUAAAUAAACAUUUACAAGGGUCUUACUUUUGUUAGAAGAGAAAAUCAAUAUUUCAAAGCUGUUUGUGUGUCUGACACUCAGAUGUAAUGUAUAUGUGAAUUAGAUAAUAGAUUCUAUAGGUAUGACUACUGUCAACCUGAGAAAAAUACAAUGACUCACCUGAAGGGAGAAUGAACUCUGAAUGUGCUUUUGUUCUCCUUUGUUAGAGAUGUGAUGUUUAUAAUUUGUAUAUCAGCAGAUUGAUGAGAGGUACAGACAGACUGCUCAGCUUCCUGUUUCCUGUGUAACAGGUUAUAUUGUUGCUACUCAUGAGCCAAAAUGGAGGCACAGCAUCACUUGUUUUUCACAAAAUGUCCCGAGAACUCUUCUCUUUAACAUUUGAUUUAAGUGAUAUUAAUAUGUAGAGUGUUUUCUAUUCAUCUAUCUAGAAAAAAAGUGAUGUUUUAUUACAUUGAAUAAAAACGCUGCGACA
Sander lucioperca (pikeperch) is the source of this 823-nucleotide long non-coding RNA. RefSeq lists it as uncharacterized. Lineage: Eukaryota; Metazoa; Chordata; Actinopteri; Perciformes; Percidae. The transcript has 2 exons. The record is from RefSeq and is a predicted model, not a curated record.